UGCGUAGGCGGAAUGAUAAGUCAGUGGUGAAAUCCUACAGCUUAACUGUAGAACUGCCAUUGAUACUGUUGUUCUUGAGUACAUUUGAAGUGGGCGGAAUGUGUCAUGUAGCGGUGAAAUGCAUAGAGAUGACACAGAACACCGAUCGCGAAGGCAGCUCACUAAACUGUAACUGACGCUGAGGCACGAAAGCGUGGGGAUCAAACAGGAUUAGAUACCCUGGUAGUCC
RNAcentral lists this ribosomal RNA (229 nucleotides) under uncultured bacterium. RNAcentral's name for it is "partial 16S ribosomal RNA". It matches the Rfam family "Bacterial small subunit ribosomal RNA", at positions 568 to 796 of the family's 1533-position model. The record is from RNAcentral.